This is a non-coding RNA of Camelina sativa (false flax), 1790 nucleotides long. NCBI's taxonomy places the organism in Eukaryota, Viridiplantae, Streptophyta, Magnoliopsida, Brassicales, Brassicaceae. The record is from RefSeq and is a predicted model, not a curated record.
UGAUAACGGUGGGAUGUCUGAGAAUUUUUUAACAAUAAAAAAAAAAAUGUUUUAAUCGCUUAUUUACAGAGAAGCAAACAGAACAACGAAUUCUCGAAUCGAUUUUUUCAUAAUCGAGUAGAUAUAACCCAAUCGGAAGCUUCCAGUUUUGCUUGAGGAAAAAUCCAUACACACAAAGAAGAAUCUCACCGCGAAAUCAUCAGCUAUGGGUUGGGUCUGAGUCGACGAUUCGUCCGCGGCUAAAGCCGGCAAAGAUCUCACCGAUCAACCGCUCGGAGAUUCCACCGCCGCCGAUAGCAAUUGCUCCACCACCACGGUGGUAAGAUCGCAGUGCAAGACGGAGGAGGUUGAACCUGGGCAGUUCGUAGGAAAUACGAUAAAACCGAAGAGGUUCUUCGCCGCUGCCUUGGCAAGUGAGUGUUUCUCAUCUUUUCUCGGUCUCUGGAGAAUUGAACUUCUUUAGGGAUUAGAGUGAAAGAGAGUCAUAAGCUAUGAUGUUUGAUUUAUUGGAUUUGGAACAUAAAUUUAUUGAUUGAGGUUGAAAUGUAAAGAUCAAAUUAUGUAAGUUUAUUCAGGAUGAGUGUGUUAGUUGUUUUUGGGGCUCUGAGUUCACAUCAAUGUUCAUGCUUAUAGGUAUAGUUCCAAGAUUGGCUCUCUCUAUUUUACCGGUACUAAGGUUGGGAUUGGGAUUGCAAGCAUAUGUAUAUGGAUAUAGUUUACAUGUUGUGUUAUGGUACAUGUGAAAUGACCUUCUAUCGCUGAAACAUUAUGGUACAUAUGUAAUAUGUUUCCAUAGUCAGAAGCAGCAGUAUCAAAAAGAAAUUGUCAGGAUUUUCUCAUCUCUGAUGCUGUAAUUUGCAUGUUUUGUGGGUAAGUAAGUGGACUAAACUGCAGGUUAGUCUUGCCUCUCUCGAGAAAUCUAUGUGGUCUAUAGUUGAGAGAGGUGUAGACUGUUCCUCAGUGGUUAGAUUCUCAGAAACGCUGAGCAGAAGACUCAUGAAGUGUAUCUAUGUGGUCUAUAGUUUAGUUAGAACAACUAUGUAUGCACAUGGUAACAUAAGAUUCAUCAACACGCGGAGCAGUUUGGCCUGAAAGUUGGCCUGAAAGAGUGGAGACUGUUCCUCAGUGGUUAGAUUCUCAGAAAGGUGUAUAUGGAAAACCUGCACAAGAGGAUUUCACAGCAGACCAUGAACGCUGGAAGACUAUUGUUUCAAAGUUCCUAUCGACUCACCUGAUACACUUCCGAUUAUGUACGAACGUGGUUUGUUUGGAAUCUAUCAUGAUUGGUGUGAAUCAUUCACCACUUACCCUCGGACUUACGACCUUCUCCACGCUGAUCAUCUUUUCUAUUCACUGAAAAAAGAGGUGCAACUUGGUUGGGGUGAUGGCUGAAGUAGACCGGAUUCUUAGACCAGAAGGUACUUUUAUAGUAAGGGAUGACAUGGAAACAAUAGGAGAAUUGAGAAGAUGGUGGAAUCGAUGAAACAGAAUGUAAGAAUGACACAUUCCAAAGAUGGAGAAGGAUUGCUCUCUGUUCAGAUGUCAUGGUGGCGUCCUACCCAGGCCGAGACAAUCCAGGCGGCAAUAGCUUGAGGUCAAGGAUACGGAGAAGAGUGUGAGUUAAUAUAGUUUUAUGAGUAAGUUGUUUAUCUACGAUCCAAUUGAUUGUUUCUUACAUGUAUUAGUCCAAAAUUUGUAUUCCGUUUUUGCAUUGAAGAAAGUUGUAUACAUUAUACAAGACAAUUGUCUCAAAAGUGUAAUCUUAUAAUCAGCUUUUGCAUUGGUCCUUA